GCUUACGGCCCACACCGGCCUGAGUACGCCUGAUCUGUCGAUCUCGGAAGCUAAGCAGGGUCGGGCCUGGUUAGUACUGGAUGGGAGACCGCCUGGGAAUACCAGGUGCUGUAAGCU
RNAcentral lists this ribosomal RNA (117 nucleotides) under Oncorhynchus mykiss (rainbow trout). Lineage: Eukaryota; Metazoa; Chordata; Actinopteri; Salmoniformes; Salmonidae. The record is from RNAcentral.